Molecule: ribosomal RNA, 539 nt
Filed under: Penicillium sp. EML-WPF1
Lineage: Eukaryota; Fungi; Ascomycota; Eurotiomycetes; Eurotiales; Aspergillaceae
Description: eukaryotic LSU rRNA
Rfam family: 5.8S ribosomal RNA (bases 181-333)
Source: RNAcentral
CAUUACCGAGUGAGGGCCCUCUGGGUCCAACCUCCCACCCGUGUUUAUUUACCUUGUUGCUUCGGCGGGCCCGCCUUAACUGGCCGCCGGGGGGCUCACGCCCCCGGGCCCGCGCCCGCCGAAGACACCCUCGAACUCUGUCUGAAGAUUGUAGUCUGAGUGAAAAUAUAAAUUAUUUAAAACUUUCAACAACGGAUCUCUUGGUUCCCGCAUCGAUGAAGAACGCAGCGAAAUGCGAUACGUAAUGUGAAUUGCAAAUUCAGUGAAUCAUCGAGUCUUUGAACGCACAUUGCGCCCCCUGGUAUUCCGGGGGGCAUGCCUGUCCGAGCGUCAUUGCUGCCCUCAAGCACGGCUUGUGUGUUGGGCCCCGUCCUCCGAUUCCGGGGGACGGGCCCGAAAGGCAGCGGCGGCACCGCGUCCGGUCCUCGAGCGUAUGGGGCUUUGUCACCCGCUCUGUAGGCCCGGCCGGCGCUUGCCGAUCAACCCAAAUUUUUAUCCAGGUUGACCUCGGAUCAGGUAGGGAUACCCGCUGAACUUAA